AUGAGAGUUUGAUCCUGGCUCAGGAUAAACGCUGGCGGCAUGCCUAAUACAUGCAAGUCGAACGGGGGUGCUUGCACCCCAGUGGCGAACGGGUGAGCAACACGUAUCUAACCUACCUCAUAGCGGGGGAUAACUUUUGGAAACGAAAGAUAAUACCGCAUGUGAAUCUUAUUAUCGCAUGAGAAAAGAUUGAAAGGACCGUUUGGUUCACUAUGAGAUGGGGAUGCGGCGUAUUAGUUAGUAGGUGAGGUAAUGGCUCACCUAGGCGAUGAUACGUAGCCGAACUGAGAGGUUGAUCGGCCACAUUGGGACUGAGAUACGGCCCAGACUCCUACGGGAGGCAGCAGUAGGGAAUUUUUCACAAUGGACGAAAGUCUGAUGAAGCAAUGCCGCGUGAGUGAUGACGGCCUUCGGGUUGUAAAGCUCUGUUGUAAGGGAAGAAAAAAUAGAGUAGGAAAUGCCUCUAUAUUGACGGUACCUUACCAGAAAGCCACGGCUAACUAUGUGCCAGCAGCCGCGGUAAUACAUAGGUGGCAAGCGUUAUCCGGAUUUAUUGGGCGUAUAGGGUGCGUAGGCGGUUUUGCAAGUUUGAGGUUAAAGCCCGGAGCUCAACUCCGGUUCGCCUUGAAAACUGCAUUACUAGAAUGCAAGAGAGGUAAGCGGAAUUCCAUGUGUAGCGGUGAAAUGCGUAGAUAUAUGGAAGAACACCUGUGGCGAAAGCGGCUUACUGGCUUGUUAUUGACGCUGAGGCACGAAAGCGUGGGGAGCAAAUAGGAUUAGAUACCCUGUAGUCCACGCUGUAAACGAUGAGUACUAGGUGUUGGGGUUAUCUCAGCGUCGCAGCUAACGCAUUAAGUACUCCGCCUGAGUAGUAUGCUCGCAAGAGUGAAACUCAAAGGAAUUGACGGGGACCCGCACAAGUGGUGGAGCAUGUGGUUUAAUUCGAAGCAACACGAAGAACCUUACCAGGACUUGACAUCCAGUGCAAAGCUAUAGAGAUAUAGUGGAGGUUAACAUUGAGACAGGUGGUGCAUGGUUGUCGUCAGUUCGUGCCGUGAGGUGUUGGGUUAAGUCCCGCAACGAACGCAACCCUUGUCGUUAGUUACUAACAUUAAGUUGAGGACUCUAACGAGACUGCUAGUGUAAGCUAGAGGAAGGUGGGGAUGACGUCAAAUCAUCAUGCCCCUUAUGUCCUGGGCUACACACGUGCUACAAUGGCUGGUACAAAGAGUCGCAAUCUCGCGAGGGGGAGCUAAUCUCAAAAAGCCAGUCUCAGUUCGGAUUGAAGUCUGCAACUCGACUUCAUGAAGCCGGAAUCACUAGUAAUCGCGAAUCAGCUAUGUCGCGGUGAAUACGUUCUCGGGUCUUGUACACACCGCCCGUCACACCACGAGAGUUGGUAAUACCAGAAGUGGGUAGCUUAACCGCAAGGAGAGCACCUCCCAAGGUAGGACUGGCGAUUGGGGUGAAGUCGUAACAAGGUAUCCGUACGGGAACGUGCGGAUGGAUCACCUCCUUU
Molecule: ribosomal RNA, 1519 nt
Filed under: Mycoplasma sp. HU2014
Lineage: Bacteria; Bacillati; Mycoplasmatota; Mollicutes; Mycoplasmatales; Mycoplasmataceae
Description: bacterial SSU rRNA
Rfam family: Bacterial small subunit ribosomal RNA
Source: RNAcentral